GUGGUUUGUGGUUAGAGCAUUUGCUUCAGAUGCAAGAGGUCGUGGGUUCGAACUCCAGCCAAGUCA
Non-coding RNA from Potamilus streckersoni, 66 nucleotides. The record is from the annotation of a GenBank genome assembly. NCBI's taxonomy places the organism in Eukaryota, Metazoa, Mollusca, Bivalvia, Unionida, Unionidae.